CCCUAUGGGGCGCCUUUUUGGGAGGGGGUUCGGUAAAUAAUCCGGAGGGCACCUAUCAUCUGGAAAUUAUUACGAAUAACAAAGCCCAUGCAGAGGCAAUUGCCAAAUUAAUGCAUGAAUAUGACUUGCCUGCAAAAAUCAGCGGACGCAAAAAUUGGUUUGUUGUUUACCUAAAAGAGAGUGAACAAAUUGUUAAUUGUCUGAAUAUUAUUGGAGCUCAUCAGGCAAUCCUUGAUUUUGAAAACACCCGAAUUAUGAAGGGGAUGAGAAAUCAAGUCAAUCGUCUGGUUAAUUGUGAAACCGCAAAUGUAAAUAAAACAGUGGAUGCUGCCGUGCGGCAAAUUGAGGCCAUCCAUGUGAUCGAGUCUGUGAUCGGAUUAAACAAGCUUUCCCCCGCACUAAAACAGGUAGCAGAACUCCGCCUUGCCUAUCCUGAUAUUAGCCUUAAGGAAUUGGCGGGGGAGC
This 465-nucleotide ribosomal RNA is filed under the name uncultured prokaryote. Its description in RNAcentral is "partial 16S ribosomal RNA". The record is from RNAcentral.